This 253-nucleotide ribosomal RNA is filed under the name uncultured bacterium. RNAcentral describes it as "partial 16S ribosomal RNA". It matches the Rfam family "Bacterial small subunit ribosomal RNA", at positions 524 to 776 of the family's 1533-position model. The record is from RNAcentral.
UACGUAGGGGGCGAGCGUUGUCCGGAAUUACUGGGCGUAAAGGGUGCGUAGGCGGCCUGAUAAGUCAGAUGUGAAAUACCACGGCUUAACCGUGGGGGUGCAUUUGAAACUGUUGGGCUUGAGUGCAGGAGAGGAAAGCGGAAUUCCUAGUGUAGCGGUGAAAUGCGUAGAGAUUAGGAGGAACACCAGUGGCGAAGGCGGCUUUCUGGACUGUAACUGACGCUGAGGCACGAAAGCGUGGGUAGCGAACAGG